Molecule: non-coding RNA, 720 nt
Organism: Pelobates cultripes (western spadefoot toad)
Lineage: Eukaryota; Metazoa; Chordata; Amphibia; Anura; Pelobatidae
Source: the annotation of a GenBank genome assembly
UCUCUAUUCUGCUCUGUGUCAGUGUGUAUCAUGGUCUCUGAGGACAGGUGUCAAUCCAUAUCUGCCAAGUGACCCUAUGUAGGGGGAACAGUCCCUAUUCUGCUCUGUGUCAGUGUGUAUCAGGGAUCCUGAGGACAGGUGUCAAUCCAUAUCUGCCAAGUGACCCUAUGUAGGGGGAACAGUCCCUAUUCUGCUCUGUGUCAGUGUGUAUCAGGGAUCCUGAGGAUAGGUGUCAAUCCAUAUCUGCCAAGUGACCCUAUGUAGGGGGAACAGUCCCUAUUCUGCUCUGUGUCAGUGUGUAUCAGGGAUCGUUAGGAUAGGUGUCAAUCCAUAUCUGCCAAGUGACCCUAUGUAGGGGGAACAGUCCCUAUUCUGCUCUGUGUCAGUGUGUAUCAGGGGCUCUGAGGACAGGUGCCAAUCCAUAUCUGCCAAGUGACCCUAUGUAGGGGGAACAGUCUCUAUUCUGCUCUCUGUCAGUGUGUAUCAUGGUCUUUGAGGACAGGUGUCAAUCCAUAUCUGCCAAGUGACCCUAUGUAGGGGGAACAGUCUCUAUUCUGCUCUGUGUCAGUGUGUAUCAUGGUCUCUGAGGACAGGUGUCAAUCCAUAUCUGCCAAGUGACCCUAUGUAGGAGGAACAGUCCCUAUUCUGCUCUGUGUCAGUGUGUAUCAGGGAUCCUUAGGACAGGUGUCAAUCCAUAUCUGCCAAGUGACCCUAUGUAGG